CACCAACAUAUAUAUCCACCAUCAGAUAGAACCACCCUCAUACGUAUAUAACCGCCAUCAGAUAGAACCACCAACAUAUAUAACCACCAUCAGAUAGAACCACCAACAUAUAUAACCACCAUCAGAUAGAACCACCAACAUAUAUAACCACCAUCAGAUAGAACCACCAACAUAUAUAACCACCAUCAGAUAGAAACACCAACAUACGUAUAUAACCGCCAUCAGAUAGAACCACCAACAUAUAUAUCCACCAUCAGAUAGAACCACCAACAUAUAUAACCACCAUCAGAUAGAACCACCAACAUAUGUAUAUAACCGCCAUCAGAUAGAACCACCAACAUAUAUAACCGCCAUCAGAUAGAACCACCAACAUAUAUAACCACCAUCAGAUA
Molecule: long non-coding RNA, 392 nt
Organism: Gasterosteus aculeatus aculeatus (three-spined stickleback)
Lineage: Eukaryota; Metazoa; Chordata; Actinopteri; Perciformes; Gasterosteidae
Source: Ensembl